GGCUUGAUGAGUAUGAUUUCAAGUCUGACCUGCCCAAUGAUAUUAGUUGAAUGGCUGCGGUAUUUUAACCGUACAAAGGUAGCAUAGUCACUAGUUUUUUAAUUGAAAGCUUGUAUGAAAGGUUUGAUGAAAAAGUUUCUGUCUCUAUUAGAAUUUUAUAGAAUUUUAUUUUUAAGUGAAAAAGCUUAGAUAGAAGUAAAAGACGAGAAGACCCUAUAGAGUUUAAUAAGUUUAAAGUAUAAGUGUUUAUGGUAAUGUAGUUUAUUUAUUUUAUAUUUAUUUGGUUGGGGUGACAGGAAAAUUCAAUGAACUUUUUUUUCUUUGGAACAUUUAUAAAUGAGUGUAAGAUCCUUUUUUUGAGAUAGAAAGAUAAAAUUACCUUAGGGAUAACAGCGUGAUUUUUUAUAGAGUUCUUAUCGAAUAAAAAGAUUGCGACCUCGAUGUUGGAUUAAAAUUAAUUUUUGGUGAAGAAGCUAAUGGAUUAGGUCUGUUCGACCUUUAAAAUUUUACAUGAUCUGAGUUUAAACCGGUGUGAG
This 536-nucleotide ribosomal RNA is filed under the name Trigonopterus sp. 812 AR-2022a. RNAcentral's name for it is "partial large subunit ribosomal RNA". It matches the Rfam family "Bacterial large subunit ribosomal RNA", at positions 1828 to 2625 of the family's 2925-position model. Lineage: Eukaryota; Metazoa; Arthropoda; Insecta; Coleoptera; Curculionidae. The record is from RNAcentral.